RNAcentral lists this ribosomal RNA (886 nucleotides) under uncultured bacterium. RNAcentral describes it as "bacterial SSU rRNA". It matches the Rfam family "Bacterial small subunit ribosomal RNA", at positions 1 to 903 of the family's 1533-position model. The record is from RNAcentral.
UAGAGUUUGAUCAUGGCUCAGGAUGAACGCUGGCGGCGUGCUUAACACAUGCAAGUCGAACGGACUCAUAUUGAAACCUAGUGAUUUAUGAGUUAGUGGCGGACGGGUGAGUAACGCGUGGAUAACCUGCCGUAUACCGGGGGAUAACACUUAGAAAUAGGUGCUAAUACCGCAUAAGCGCACGGCUCCGCAUGGGGCAGUGUGAAAAACUCCGGUGGUAUACGAUGGAUCCGCGUCUGAUUAGCUAGUUGGCGGGGUAACGGCCCACCAAGGCAGCGAUCAGUAGCCGGCCUGAGAGGGUGGACGGCCACAUUGGGACUGAGACACGGCCCAAACUCCUACGGGAGGCAGCAGUGGGGAAUAUUGCACAAUGGGGGAAACCCUGAUGCAGCGACGCCGCGUGAGUGAAGAAGUAUCUCGGUACGUAAAGCUCUAUCAGCAGGGAAGAAAAUGACGGUACCUGACUAAGAAGCCCCGGCUAACUACGUGCCAGCAGCCGCGGUAAUACGUAGGGGGCAAGCGUUAUCCGGAUUUACUGGGUGUAAAGGGAGCGUAGACGGCAGCACAAGUCUGGAGUGAAAUCCCGGGGCUUAACCCCGGAACUGCUUUGGAAACUGUGCGGCUGGAGUGCAGGAGGGGUAAGCGGAAUUCCUAGUGUAGCGGUGAAAUGCGUAGAUAUUAGGAGGAACACCGGUGGCGAAGGCGGCUUACUGGACUGUAACUGACGUUGAGGCUCGAAAGCGUGGGGAGCAAACAGGAUUAGAUACCCUGGUAGUCCACGCCGUAAACGAUGAUUACUAGGUGUCGGGGGACCAAGGUCCUCCGGUGCCGGCGCAAACGCAUUAAGUAAUCCACCUGGGGAGUACGUUCGCAAGAAUGAAACUCA